CGCGCGCAGAGCCGUUGGGAGCGGCCGUUGAGGAGCCGCGGCGAGGCUUCGAAGCGCCGUUUCCUCGCUCUUCCAAACUAUGGCGUGACUUUCCAGAGGAGACGACGUGCGGCAGCGCCGUCCUCCUGCCCAGUGCAGCAGUUGAAUGCUUCACAUGACACUUCAAGCUGUACGGUUUUAAGGUUAUGUUUUCCAAAACAAGGUGGAAUCCUGUCUGCAGCGGACACACUGCUCAGACAACAUCAUAAUUAUUGAAAACUUCCUUCACACCCGCUUGCAGAGUAUAAUUAUGCUAAUGUGUUAUCUUCACAUCUUCCUUACACUUGGGGCAUCAACAAUAAUUAACUGAAGGAUGGGGGCGGAGAGGAGGGCAAAAGUAACCAACUGAGAAUCUGUUUUGAGAAACUCCUGGCUGUUAUUAGUUGGCUUGAUUUUAAAAUUCAAUAGAUAAAUGGAGUCAAGAAAGAGAACAGAACAAUACAAAAAAGUGCUUAGAAGAAAAUAGCAGAUCUUAAGGAAUAGAAUCAGAUAAAAUAGAACUGGGGGAAAUUUGUUGUCAUGGCAACCAAGAACUCAUUUCACCAUGCUACAAAUGAUAUAUAAUGUACCUUCAAUUGGUUUACCUGUAAUAAACUACAAAUGGUGCUGCAAAAAACACCAGCAGAGUCAUCAGUAGGGUUGAAAAUGUAUACAAACACAGCCAAAUUUGAGCAACUGGGAUAAAUUAAUGGAAAUUAAUGCACAUUCCAAGAACCAGAUAGUUACAAAAAGCAGCAA
This is a long non-coding RNA of Podarcis muralis (Common wall lizard), 777 nucleotides long. RefSeq lists it as uncharacterized. Lineage: Eukaryota; Metazoa; Chordata; Lepidosauria; Squamata; Lacertidae. The record is from RefSeq and is a predicted model, not a curated record.